CACGUAGGCGGAUAUUUAAGUCAGGGGUGAAAUCCCAGAGCUCAACUCUGGAACUGCCUUUGAUACUGGGUAUCUUGAGUAUGGAAGAGGUAAGUGGAAUUCCGAGUGUAGAGGUGAAAUUCGUAGAUAUUCGGAGGAACACCAGUGGCGAAGGCGGCUUACUGGUCCAUUACUGACGCUGAGGUGCGAAAGCGUGGGGAGCAAAUA
RNAcentral lists this ribosomal RNA (207 nucleotides) under uncultured bacterium. Its description in RNAcentral is "partial 16S ribosomal RNA". It matches the Rfam family "Bacterial small subunit ribosomal RNA", at positions 568 to 774 of the family's 1533-position model. The record is from RNAcentral.